AUGAAUCCUGGACCCACCUAACUUCUGAGACUUGAAAGCCACAAGGUCACCCUGGAGUUCAUCCUUAGAACUGGAAUAACAGUUUCUAUUUCAUCUUGAAAACGUGGCAAUCUUGGCAUGAAAACUUCAGUGCAGUGCACCCUUGUCUUUGUUUUAUACCUGAGGAGACCGAGACUCAGCAAGAGGCAGUUUGUCAGGUCACACUACCCGGUCAGUGAUGGAACCCAGCCCUCAGGUAGGACUGCAUGACGCCGGCCUGGUCUGUGCUGCCUCUGUGACUACUGCGGGGAGACAAAGGAAACAAGAAGCCGGGAAGCAGACAAUUCCAAAGAAGCUCGGAACUGGAGAAAUCUGGGCUUCAGCACUAUUCCCAGCCCCACCUUCCGACUAACGUGUCAGUAGUUCAUCAAUAUGCGGGAAGACGAU
Molecule: long non-coding RNA, 426 nt
Organism: Cavia porcellus (domestic guinea pig)
Lineage: Eukaryota; Metazoa; Chordata; Mammalia; Rodentia; Caviidae
Exons: 3
Source: RefSeq, a predicted model, not a curated record